GAUGAACGCUGGCGGCGUGCCUAAUACAUGCAAGUCGAGCGAACAGAUGAGGAGCUUGCUCCUCUGACGUUAGCGGCGGACGGGUGAGUAACACGUGGAUAACCUACCUAUAAGACUGGGAUAACCUCGGGAAACCGGAGCCAAUACCGGAUAAUAUAUUGAACCGCAUGGUGCAAUAGUUAAAGACGGUUUGGCUGUUACUUAUAGAUGGAUCCGCGCCGGAUUAGCUAGUUGGUAAGGUAACGGCUUACCAAGGCAACGAUGCGUAGCCGACCUGAGAGGAUGAUCGGCCACACUGGAACUGAGACACGGUCCAGACUCCUACGGGAGGCAGCAGUAGGGAAUCUUCCGCAAUGGGCGAAAGCCUGACGGAGCAACGCCGCGUGAGUGAUGAAGGUCUUCGGAUCGUAAAACUCUGUUAUUAGGGAAGAACAAAUGUGUAAGUAACUAUGCACGUCUUGACGGUACCUAAUCAGAAAGCCACGGCUAACUACGUG
RNAcentral lists this ribosomal RNA (497 nucleotides) under uncultured bacterium. RNAcentral's name for it is "partial 16S ribosomal RNA". It matches the Rfam family "Bacterial small subunit ribosomal RNA", at positions 28 to 507 of the family's 1533-position model. The record is from RNAcentral.